GGCUAGCUCAGUCGUUAGAGCAUGAGACUCUCAGGGCCAUGGGUUCGAGCCCCACAUUGGCCA
Molecule: transfer RNA, 63 nt
Filed under: Podarcis lilfordi (Lilford's wall lizard)
Lineage: Eukaryota; Metazoa; Chordata; Lepidosauria; Squamata; Lacertidae
Rfam family: tRNA
About the family: Transfer RNA (tRNA) molecules are approximately 80 nucleotides in length. Their secondary structure includes four short double-helical elements and three loops (D, anti-codon, and T loops).
Source: Rfam by way of RNAcentral